Long non-coding RNA from Parus major (Great Tit), 1658 nucleotides. RefSeq lists it as uncharacterized. The record is from RefSeq and is a predicted model, not a curated record. The transcript has 2 exons. NCBI's taxonomy places the organism in Eukaryota, Metazoa, Chordata, Aves, Passeriformes, Paridae.
CGGAGGGUCACCCCCGGUCCCCGGUGCAGAGGGGGCCAGGAGAAGGCGCCAGGUCCGCGGGUUCCCGGUGCGGAGGGUCCCGGGAGAAGCGGCGGUGGAGAGCGGGGACGGCCGCGCUCUCUCGGCUCGGCGGGGAGGCAGCGGCGGUGCGGAGAAGGGAAAUGCUAAGGUGCCAUCCCAGACUCCCGACCCUUGCAGGCACGAGAAGCCAGCCAACCAUAACACCGCCCCUAAACCGAAAAUCCUUCUCCUUAACGAAAUGAAACAUCCCUUCCAAAACAAAGCUUUGAUCCCCGGGCUAAGAUCUUUUGGAGCAAGGCAAGGACGAGCCUGGCUGCAGAGCGUGGGAUCCACGGCUUUGUUCCCUGAGUCACCUGUGGCAGCUCGUCCAGGCUGGCCAGGCUUGAAAUAUGCAGAAAUCCAAAUGAUUUUUAACAGCUUGUCCUCCCUACGGUGGACGUGGCCUAAGACAAAGAAAACAGGGAUGAAAUGCCUGGCCGGGAGCCUUGCAGGAACAAAAACAGCCUUGUAAGCACAGCCUGAAGUUUGGCAAGCUCCAGCUCUGAUGGACAGUGCAGGGGUGUUGGGUUCCAGGGCAGGUGUCGGCAGCAGGACACUGUCCCUGCCCUCGGGAAGCGACAACAGCUGAAAUCCAGCCCGUGGUGCGCUGGAAAAAUAAAGUGGCUGCUGAAUACAAGGGGGCAGAGCACCCCAGGCUUUAGGAAUUGCCACAAACACCUUGAAUUGCACCAGCACUGCGACAGCAGCCCCGGAAACACCCAAAAAUGAGUGCUGGGGAUGCUCCCGGGAAAGGCAGCGGGAAUCAGCAGCAGGUCAGCUGAAGCUGCUGAGGGUUCAGCCUCCAGAGAGCUUCUUACAAUGUCCAGAGCAGGCUGUAAAUAAGAUUUCUUACUUUCCACAGCAAUGCCAGUGUCUGCAGUCUCUCCUCUUUGCUUAAACUCUCCUCCUCCUCCUCCUCCUUCUCAUUAGUUUGCUAAGUUUCCGAGUGUGCCACGAGCUGCCUUUAAACACUCUGUGGAAGAUCUUUGCCCAAAUGCUCUCUGCUGGCGCAGAGGCUCCAGGAACAGCCUCCCCACGCUGCUGCUGCUCCAUCCCCACCGACUGCCGUGCCUGGCACCGGCCCUGUUUGCCGAGCUCCCCGCAUCCCCAGCGAGGAAGUGCCGCUGUUAUUGUUGCAGCAAUAAACACAACGGCCGAGGGCAGCUGGUUCACAAGCGCCACAUUUGCGAGUGCAGGAGGAGCAGAACUGACGUGCUGGGGAGGGGGAAGCAGAGACAAGUGCUUCUGUGAGUUGGGCAAUCUGGCGAGUUGGGCAAUCAACGCUGUUUGUGAGUUGUUCUUUCGUUUGCAAGGGGAAGAGAAGUCCAAAACUUGCAAGUGACGGAUCUGGAAAGCAAAAUCUAUAAAAGAGGAUGGCAGCAAUUCGUUUAUCAAUUUAGUGAGAGGAAGAUAAUGAAAUCCACAGGAUCUGAAAGAUACGAGCACAGCUCAUGUACCCGCAGCUGAGAAAAAACAUCCCUCGUGUUUCUCAGUUUGUGUACAUCCCAUGAACUGCUAAAACAGCAACAGUUCGAGGCACCUUGUAGUAUUUGCCCACCUAUGUGUCAGUGAAAUAAAGAGCUGUGAUCCACUCCUGC